Molecule: transfer RNA, 72 nt
Filed under: Bos taurus (domestic cattle)
Lineage: Eukaryota; Metazoa; Chordata; Mammalia; Artiodactyla; Bovidae
Also listed under: 4 other names
Rfam family: tRNA
About the family: Transfer RNA (tRNA) molecules are approximately 80 nucleotides in length. Their secondary structure includes four short double-helical elements and three loops (D, anti-codon, and T loops).
Source: Rfam by way of RNAcentral
UCCUUUGUAGCUGAGUUGGUAAAGAAUCUGCCUGCAGUGCAGGAGACCCGGGUUGGAUUCCCGGGUUGGGAA